Molecule: ribosomal RNA, 1100 nt
Filed under: Trichodina sp.
Lineage: Eukaryota; Ciliophora; Oligohymenophorea; Mobilida; Trichodinidae
Description: partial large subunit ribosomal RNA
Rfam family: Eukaryotic large subunit ribosomal RNA
Source: RNAcentral
GUCUCAGUAGCGGCGAGUGAAGAGACAUCAGCCCAGAUUUAGAAUUGUAAUCUCGGAAGCAAUUCCGAGCUCGACGAAUGGCAUAACUUACCUGGGACGGUAGGCCAGAGAAGGUAACAGCCCUGUGAUGCCAGGACCGAGCCGUGAAUGCGUGGAGAGUCGGGUUGUUUGGGAAUGCAGCCCUAAGCGGGAGAUAGACAUCUUCUAAGGCUAAAUACCGGUGGGAGACCGAUAGCGCACAAGUACUGCGAAGGAAAGAUGAAAAGAACUUUGGAAAGAGGGUUAAAAGACGUGAAAUCGUUGAAGUGGAACUGAUCGCAGCCCGUCCAGGCUAUGUCUCCGUGCUUAGCUCUCCGGACCCCCGGACUCAAAUCCCAAGUCUCACGAGUUAAGUACUGGCAUAGCACGUCCCCGCAUCAGUUCUAGUGCUGCUAAUCAAACGCUUCAAGUUAGGUUGCGUCUGGAUCAGCACUGGGACUGAGGAAGAUGCGAGGAAAGCGACUGUGAUCGACCCGUCUUGAAACACGGACCAAGGAGUCUAACUGUCGUGCGAGUGGGAGGGUGUCAAACCCGAACGCGUACCGAAAGGGAGUAUAAGGUGCAAGGACAACCGCAGCACCAGCGAGCGAGAGCUCAGCAAGAGCACGAGGGUUAGGACCCGAAAGAUGGUGAACUAUGCCCGAGUAGGGUGAAGCCAGGGGAAACUCUGGUGGAGGCUCGAAGCGUUACUGACGUGCAAAUCGUUCGUCGAACUUGGGUGUAGGGGCGAAAGACUAAUCGAACCAUCUAGUAGCUGGUUCCCUCUGAAAUUUCUCUCAGGAUAGCGGGGACAGAACAGUUUUAUCAGGUAAAGCGAAUGAUUAGAGUCCUCGGGGGCCAGAGGCCCUUGAACUAUUCUCAAACUUUCAAUUGGUAAGAGCCCAUGGGUUGCUUAACUGAACCCAGGGGAACAAUGUCUGUCCUCAGUGGGCCAUUUUUGGUAAGCAGAACUGGCGAUGAGGGAUGAACCUAACGUCGGGCUAAGGUGCCCAAUUCCACGCUCAUGAGACACCAAAAAAGGUGUUGGUUCAUUUAAACAGCAGGACGGUGGCCAUGGAAGU